AACAUUUCUCCCUUCUCCCUCUCUGUUUUGUUCUCUUUCUCUUACACACAAACACAAAUUUCUCUCCCUCAAUCUCACACAAACAAACUCUCUUUCAAACACGCAUAGAUCACCGGCAGAGAACAAAGAUUAGAGUCCUCCCCACUUCUAAGAACAUGCAGCUUAAUCACCAUAUUGAUUGUAGCCGUUGAGAUAGAGAAGCACGAGAGAGUGAAGAUUGAAGAACGAAAGAGAAAAGGGAUGAGAGAGAAAGAAUUAUUUUUUUAUUCAACCGGGUAUUAUUUUAAGUGUGAAUAUUGUCUAGAUAUGCUACAGUGAUUGCUACAGUGCUCUCCAGGCCUGGAGAGCUACUGUAGCAAAUCUAAAAAAAAAAAUGGAGAUGCCGAGUUUGUUGGAGGGGUGAUUUUGCGUGAACAGUGGCUUUUGCUCUCCAAAAUUUAGAGAAGGCUAGCCUGUUGGAGAUGCUCUUAUUCUUUCUCUAUUUUUAUUUUAAUGGGGGCAAAUCACACUAACGCCCUCCUUGGACUUUUAUUUAUUUUUUAUGGAAUAAAAAAGAGAGCUCAUGCCGAUGCGUGUGUUCACGGCCCUUUGGACUUU
Long non-coding RNA from Quercus robur (English oak), 597 nucleotides. RefSeq lists it as uncharacterized. The record is from RefSeq and is a predicted model, not a curated record. NCBI's taxonomy places the organism in Eukaryota, Viridiplantae, Streptophyta, Magnoliopsida, Fagales, Fagaceae. The transcript has 2 exons.